This 868-nucleotide ribosomal RNA is filed under the name uncultured Chloroflexota bacterium. RNAcentral's name for it is "bacterial SSU rRNA". It matches the Rfam family "Bacterial small subunit ribosomal RNA", at positions 28 to 895 of the family's 1533-position model. The record is from RNAcentral. Lineage: Bacteria; Bacillati; Chloroflexota.
GACGAACGCUGGCGGCGUGCCUAACACAUGCAAGUCGAACGAGAAACCAGCCUUUGAUUCCUUCGGGAUGAUAAGGCCGGUAGAAAGUGGCGAACGGGUGAGUAACGCGUAAGCAACCUGCCCUUAAGUAGGGGAUAACUUUGAGAAAUUGGAGCUAAUACCUUAGUGGUGAUGAGGGUAAUGCUUCAUCAUUAAAGCCUUAGGGUGCUUAGGGAGGGGCUUGCGUCCGAUUAGCUAGUUGGUGGGGUAACGGCUUACCAAGGCGAUGAUCGGUAGCUGGUUUGAGAGGACGGUCAGCCACACUGGGACUGAGACACGGCCCAGACUCCUACGGGAGGCAGCAGCAAGGGAUAUUGUGCAAUGGGCGAAAGCCUGACACAGCGACGCCGCGUGGGGGAUGAAGGCUUUCGGGUUGUAAACCCCUUUUCUCAGGGAAGAAUAAUGACGGUACCUGAGGAAUAAGUCUUGGCUAACUACGUGCCAGCAGCCGCGGUAAUACGUAGGAGGCGAGCGUUAUCCGGAUUUACUGGGCGUAAAGAGGGCGUAGGCGGUCCUUCAAGUCGGAUGUAAAAUCUCCCGGCUCAACUGGGAGGGAUCAUUCGAUACUGCUGGGCUGGAGGGUAGCAGAGGGAGGUGGAAUUCCCGGUGUAGUGGUGAAAUGCGUAGAUAUCGGGAGGAACACCAGUGGCGAAGGCGGCCUCCUGGGCUAUUUCUGACGCUGAGGCCCAAAAGCGUGGGGAGCGAACAGGAUUAGAUACCCUGGUAGUCCACGCUGUAAACUAUGGACACUAGGUAUGGGGAGUAUCGACCCUCUCUGUGCCGAAGCUAACGCUUUAAGUGUCCCGCCUGGGGACACGGCCGCAAGGCU